This 494-nucleotide long non-coding RNA is filed under the name Mytilus galloprovincialis (Mediterranean mussel). Lineage: Eukaryota; Metazoa; Mollusca; Bivalvia; Mytilida; Mytilidae. The record is from RNAcentral.
AGCGGCCUUAUUUUCAACUUGCUGGUCCUACAGUGCGUUAACGACAGAUUGAAGAAAUACAACAAAAUAUGAUUUAUUUUUGUGCCAAAAUUAUGUUAGCCUGAACAAGCUUUAAGCAUUAAAGAAAGAUUGAGCAACAUGUACAAUAUAAUACGGUGCUAAAUUUUCUUUGAGUUCGACAGCCAGCAACCGAUGUAAAGUUUUGGAUGAUUUUCAACUAGCGUUAUUUUAUUAACGUUUAAUAUUUCAAAAGACAUGAUUACUAGAUACGAAUCACUCAUUUCAAUGCUCCCCCUCCCCCCUAAAAAAACUAAAAAAAAGUAAGAGGCGUAAGAUGUCAAAGGAACAUUUGGGAACGAUGGAAGACACUUUGAUAAUUUCUGUCGUCACAUGUGAAAUAAAUAACGAUUUCAAAUAGCACUUCAAACAUAAUUUACGUCCAGUGGCAAGUUUAAUGCAUAUUCAGAACUAGAACAUAUUAAUUUUGACCCUGC